GUUUACCUUGUGUAGGUGGACCACGCAACUGCUGUACAACGCCGAGCCCAGCUAUCGUUGAAAGACGCUUGAUCUGCGCAUGCUGCACCAGUUCUUCUGAUUGCGAGCAAAUAGCGGAUCACCAAUCUAGAGGCCUUGGAUCUGGGCCUGUCAUCUGAAAAUAUCGCGCGUGCGUUCUCCCCUUCGCACUGCGCUGUCAACGGCAUCGACAAGUGCGGCACCCCGUGGUCCAUGGUUACCUACAAGUAGCUGCGGCGACGACGGACUUGCGGGAUUUGCGGCCGUGUACUCGAUGUUAACGGUGGCUGUUUACCUUGUGUAGGUAAGUGUGUAGCACCUUUUUUCACCUCGAUUAUUACCAUUGUCACUGGCUGCAAAUCCCAACUUUCUAUUAUUUCUUGUUUGCUAUGGGUGUUGAUGUGUGUACGUAUCGCGCGCGCAUAGGACGCUUCCUUGCGCGCCACAUACAACUCAAACAGCAAUUCGCUGUCUGGCUCCGUUCAACGGCGUUUUUUGGUUACUGGAGACCAGGAUGCCGUCUACUUGUAGUUUUGUUCAGUGUUGCACACAUACUGCUUUGCGCUGGUGACAUCGAAACAAAUCCAGGGCCUGACAAAGUAGAGCAGCUAUUAGUUUUGGUGAAAGAUAUAGGACAGACAAUUGACAAAUUCCA
Rhipicephalus microplus (southern cattle tick) is the source of this 673-nucleotide long non-coding RNA. NCBI's taxonomy places the organism in Eukaryota, Metazoa, Arthropoda, Arachnida, Ixodida, Ixodidae. The record is from RefSeq and is a predicted model, not a curated record.